Molecule: ribosomal RNA, 403 nt
Filed under: uncultured bacterium
Lineage: Bacteria
Description: bacterial SSU rRNA
Rfam family: Bacterial small subunit ribosomal RNA
Source: RNAcentral
UGGGGAAUAUUGGACAAUGGGGGCAACCCUGAUCCAGCCAUGCCGCGUGAGUGAUGAAGGCCUUAGGGUUGUAAAGCUCUUUCGCUAGGGAAGAUAAUGACGGUACCUAGAGAAGAAGCCCCGGCUAACUUCGUGCCAGCAGCCGCGGUAAUACGAAGGGGGCUAGCGUUGUUCGGAAUUACUGGGCGUAAAGCGCACGUAGGCGGACAUUUAAGUCAGGGGUGAAAUCCCAGGGCUCAACCCUGGAACUGCCUUUGAUACUGGGUGUCUUGAGUACGAGAGAGGUGAGUGGAAUUCCGAGUGUAGAGGUGAAAUUCGUAGAUAUUCGGAAGAACACCAGUGGCGAAGGCGGCUCACCGGCUCGUAACUGACGCUGAGGUGCGAAAGCGUGGGGAGCAAACAG